GACGAACGCUGGCGGCGUGCUUAACACAUGCAAGUCGAACGAAGUGGCGAACGGGUGAGUAAUACGUGGGUAACCUGCCCUCCUUUUUGGGAUAAGCCUUGGAAACGGGGUCUAAUACCGAAUAAAGGGGGAUGGGCUCGCGGCCUAUCAGCUGGUUGGUGGGGUGAUGGCCUACCAAGGCGGUGACGGGUAGCCGGCCUGAGAGGGCGACCGGCAACUUUGGGACUGAGAUACGGCCCAGACGACGAAGGGAGGGAGAAGUGGGGGAUAUUGGACAAUGGGCGAAAGACUGAUGCAGCGUCGCUGCGUGGGGGAUGAAGGCUUUAGGGUUGUAACCCUCUUUCGCUAUCGAAUCGGUAGGUGGAGAAGAAGCGCCGGCUAACUACGUGCCAGCAGCCGCGGUAAUAC
Molecule: ribosomal RNA, 408 nt
Filed under: uncultured bacterium
Lineage: Bacteria
Description: partial 16S ribosomal RNA
Rfam family: Bacterial small subunit ribosomal RNA
Source: RNAcentral